UCGGGCUAGUUCUCAAAAAAAAAAACUACUAUCUCCUUUCUGAGCACUACUCACUGAUAUUGUCCCUUGUCUCUCCCUGUGCAUCACGUAACAAAGGAUUGAGUUUCCUCCAAACUACUUGCAGAGGAAAGACUAAAAAAGAAAGACAGAAAGAUGUUAGCUUGCCGAAUCAACUCAGUUUCAGCAGGCUUCUAUUUAGGGACUCGGGUAGCACAAUUUCCCUUUCUUUUGCCAUGUCUCUUUCUGCCAUUUCUACCGCAACCAGCAAUAACCUCUACCCUUCUCUUAGCACCCAGACCAUGCUAGGAACUUCACAGAAGACCUAGAGACAGAAGAACUCCCCAUCUACAUCUGAGAUUCAAUGCAAGUGAAGGAUGAGAGAGGAUAGACAAAGAUGCCAGUAAUGCAAAGAGGAAGGGUGAAAUUCAGACCUGGUAUAAGCAGCUCUAACUGCAUUGAAGUCAACAGAGUUUCACCCACAUUAAAUUUGGCCUGAAGUUUGGAAUAAUGUGAGAGCUUUUCCUGAUCCUGUCUGCACUCUGCAUGAGCUCUCGAUAAACCCCAGCCAUCAGUGAUUAACCUCUCGAUCACCCUUCAAGUGCUGGAGGAUGCCGGUAGAGAAAGGCAAUGCACUUUAUAAUGUGAAAGGAUUUGGUCCGACAUCACUGAAAUGAAGGUGAGAUUUGACUUUGACUUCUGUGAGCUCACCGUCAGACCUUCAGUAAAUCCAGAACAUUGCAAACCUCUGCUGUCGGUGCAAGUAAGACAAUGUAAAUAAAUUUAGGAACAAAACUGAAAUUUCAUCAGCCUUCUGGUUUCUGUCACUUUCCAGUGCUGAUAGCAAUAAGAUGAUCCUGUAUGAUUCCACUACAAGCAUAUGAUGUCAGACUGUAUUCACUGAGAUACAGUAGCAUGAUUGUAAUCAAUGACAUUGUGAAAAAGGCUUCAGGCUUGCCUAAUAAAUGGAUGCAUAUGCUCAUUUGGAUUUAUAAUUUUCCACAUUUUUUUUCAAUUUUAUUCUGUAUUGUUCUCUUAAGAAUCUGUGUACAUAUCUUGCUAGAAGCUGUGUGAGAAAUCUGCAUACUGUGGUAAUACAUAAAUGUUAAGGUUGUAUCUUAUAGUAGUAUAAAUCAAAUUUGUAGUAUAUGAAAAAUACCUGUAAAGAUACAGGCUGACGCUAUUUUCCCAUCCAGCCCAUGCCAAAACAAGCAGUAAUUAUGUGAGCUGAGACUUGAGAA
This is a non-coding RNA of Pelodiscus sinensis (Chinese soft-shelled turtle), 1238 nucleotides long. The record is from RefSeq and is a predicted model, not a curated record. Lineage: Eukaryota; Metazoa; Chordata; Testudines; Trionychidae.